This 406-nucleotide ribosomal RNA is filed under the name uncultured bacterium. RNAcentral describes it as "partial 16S ribosomal RNA". It matches the Rfam family "Bacterial small subunit ribosomal RNA", at positions 30 to 526 of the family's 1533-position model. The record is from RNAcentral.
AUUGAACGCUGGCAGCAGGCCUAACACAUGCAAGUCGAACGAGUGGCGGACGGGUGUGUAAUGUCUGGGACACUGCCUGAUGGAGGGGGAUAACUACUGGAAACGGUAGCUACUACCGAAUACCAUCAGAUGUGCCCAGAUUGGUUUAGCUAGUUGGUGGGGUAACGGCUCACCAAGGCGACGAACCCUAGCUGGGCUGAGAGGGUGACCGCUCCCACUGUAACUGCGACACGGUCCAGACUCCUACGGGAGGCAGAAGUGGCUAAUAUUGCACAAGGGGCGGAAGCCUGAUUCAGCGACGCCGCGUGUAUGAAGAAGGCCUUCGGGUUGGAAAGUACUUGCAGCGGGGAGGCGUUACCCACAGAAAAAGCACCGGCUAAGUCCGUGCCAGCCGCCGCGGUAAUAC